RNAcentral lists this ribosomal RNA (228 nucleotides) under uncultured bacterium. RNAcentral describes it as "partial 16S ribosomal RNA". It matches the Rfam family "Bacterial small subunit ribosomal RNA", at positions 103 to 334 of the family's 1533-position model. The record is from RNAcentral.
CGGGUGAGUAAUGUAUGGGGAUCUGCCUGAUGGCGGGGGAUAACUACUGGAAACGGUAGCUAAUACCGCAUAAUGUCUACGGACCAAAGCGGGGGACCUCCGGGCCUCGCGCCAUCAGAUGAACCCAUAUGGGAUUAGCUUGUAGGUAAGGUAACGGCUUGCCUAGGCGACGAUCCCUAGCUGGUCUGAGAGGAUGAUCAGCCACACUGGGACUGAGACACGGCCCAG